This is a small nucleolar RNA of Cynocephalus volans (Philippine flying lemur), 85 nucleotides long. RefSeq annotates it as small nucleolar RNA SNORD111. The record is from RefSeq and is a predicted model, not a curated record. The transcript has a single exon. Lineage: Eukaryota; Metazoa; Chordata; Mammalia; Dermoptera; Cynocephalidae.
CAGCUUGAAGUGAUGACUGUAAAUAUCAUGUCUCUUUGACAUUUUUCUCUGGAGAUAAUUUUUGCCUUAAUGAUCUGAUAGGCCA